UACGUAGGGUGCGAGCGUUGUCCGGAAUUAUUGGGCGUAAAGAGCUCGUAGGCGGUUUGUCGCGUCUGCUGUGAAAACCCGAGGCUCAACCUCGGCCUGCAGUGGGUACGGGCAGACUAGAGUGCGGUAGGGGAGAUUGGAAUUCCUGGUGUAGCGGUGGAAUGCGCAGAUAUCAGGAGGAACACCGGUGGCGAAGGCGGGGUCUCUGGG
RNAcentral lists this ribosomal RNA (210 nucleotides) under uncultured bacterium. RNAcentral describes it as "partial 16S ribosomal RNA". It matches the Rfam family "Bacterial small subunit ribosomal RNA", at positions 524 to 733 of the family's 1533-position model. The record is from RNAcentral.